CCUACGGGAGGCAGCAGUAGGGAAUAUUGCACAAUGGGGGAAACCCUGAUGCAGCAACGCCGCGUGAGUGAAGAAGUAUCUCGGUAUGUAAAGCUCUAUCAGCAGGGAAGAAAAUGACGGUACCUGACUAAGAAGCCCCGGCUAAAUACGUGCCAGCAGCCGCGGUAAUACGUAGGGUGCAAGCGUUAUCCGGAUUUACUGGGUGUAAAGGGAGCGCAGGCGGCGGCGCAAGUCAGAUGUGAAAGCCCGGGGCUUAACCCCGGGACUGCAUUUGAAACUGUGGGGCUAGAGUGUAGGAGAGGCAAGUGGAAUUCCGAGUGUAGCGGUGAAAUGCGUAGAUAGUAGGAGGAACACCAGGGGCGAAGGCGGCUUGCUGGACGAUCACUGACGCUGAGGCUCGAAAGCGUGGGGAGCAAACAGGAUUAGAUACCCGAGUAGUC
This 440-nucleotide ribosomal RNA is filed under the name uncultured bacterium. RNAcentral's name for it is "partial 16S ribosomal RNA". It matches the Rfam family "Bacterial small subunit ribosomal RNA", at positions 338 to 795 of the family's 1533-position model. The record is from RNAcentral.